UUGCCCAAAAACAUUGCAGUGUGCUGUCUCAGAAAUAUCUGUUUCUGAGACAGCACACUGCAAUGUUUUUGGGUU
This 75-nucleotide microRNA precursor is filed under the name Podarcis lilfordi (Lilford's wall lizard). Lineage: Eukaryota; Metazoa; Chordata; Lepidosauria; Squamata; Lacertidae. The record is from RNAcentral.